Molecule: unclassified non-coding RNA, 303 nt
Filed under: uncultured fungus
Lineage: Eukaryota; Fungi
Description: partial contains 5.8S ribosomal RNA, internal transcribed spacer 2, and large subunit ribosomal RNA
Source: RNAcentral
AACGCAUAUUGCACUCUCUUCCGGGGAGUAUGCCUGUUUCAGUAUCAUUAAUCACAUCCAUUUUUCAAUGGAGUUGGACUCUUUGCCUUUUUAAAAAGGCUGGUCCGAAAAAAAUUGUCAGCAAUUGGGAGAAGAGAAUUGCCAAGCGUAAUAGUUGAUCUCUUUUGAAGGGUCCGUCUUUCGCUUUAUUUCUCAUUUUUCUUUGCAAAAGUCAUGCGUUUCAUAUGUAUUUUUUAAAAAUACAGAUAAAUGUACGCUUCACAUCUUGAUCUGAAAUCAGGUAGGGUUACCCGCUGAACUUAA